Molecule: ribosomal RNA, 104 nt
Filed under: Notechis scutatus (mainland tiger snake)
Lineage: Eukaryota; Metazoa; Chordata; Lepidosauria; Squamata; Elapidae
Source: RNAcentral
CUCAGCAGUCCCAAGCUGAUCUUGUUUGGAUUCAAAAUUAAGAUGGCUCAGGCAUGAUUAGUAAUUGGAUAGGAGACUAUCCAGGAAUAUCAAAACUGUAGAGG